Long non-coding RNA from Condylura cristata (star-nosed mole), 308 nucleotides. RefSeq lists it as uncharacterized. The record is from RefSeq and is a predicted model, not a curated record. NCBI's taxonomy places the organism in Eukaryota, Metazoa, Chordata, Mammalia, Eulipotyphla, Talpidae. The transcript has 4 exons.
AGUAACUAUACUCAGGAAGAACUUCAAGAAACUUACGGGUUUCUUCUGUUUGAAACUGAAAAUCAGGCAAAGAGGGUAUGUGAGCGUGGACUCUGUGUUGGCAGCAGUGCAAUUACCACUUUGGGUGAUCCAGCAAAAGGUGUCUACAUUUCUAAGUACUCAGAUUAUCUUCAUGCAAGACCAUGGUAUCAUGGGAAGUCUGGCUAUAUUGUAAUUUUUAAUCUAAUUAAGGGAAAAGUCAAGUUUGUGCCUGAAAAUUAUACAACUAACUAUACUAGCCCAUCUUCUGGCUAUGAUUGUCACGUGGC